UUAUGGUGCAAAAACGGGUGCGCCCGAACCAGGAAGCUCGGCGCCACGCCAGGCGCUCGCCCCGACCCCGCCUUCCUCCGCCGCCUCGCCGCAUCUGCCGGCCUCACCGGAGAUCACCGCCGCCGCGACCAGGUCACGUCGCUGCACCUGCAUUCUCCUCAUCCCUCUCAUUCCUUCCUCCCUCUCACCAUCUCUCUCUCUCCCUCUCAUUGCAGCGGCGCCAUGGCCGCCCCGAGCUUCGCCGGCAGCCGCGUCGCCUGCCUCCGGCCACGACUCUGGCGGGAUCCAUCCGCCCCUGCCCGGAUCCGCAUCCUCCGCUCCGCCGUGCCCCCGAUCCGGCCACCACCAAGCCUCCCGCAUUGAUCCGCCCGUCCACCGGCCUCCCCCUGCUCGAUUCGGUUUGACGAGCGAAGUUAAAUGUCUUGUGGUGUCGAGGAUAAUAGUUUUUUUAGCUCCCGCAUGGUGAGUUGAGGAGGUUCUAUUUAGUUUUUGAUCUGACGUGAGCGAUUCCUGUAUGGAAUUGGUAGAUCUUUGUGAAAAUUCGUACAUAUCUCAGUGCUCUGCGUUCUACUCCUGUAUGGAGUACUUGUUACUGUCGCUUUAGUCCUUUCAUUCUUUGAUCCUUAAAUGUGAGUUGCUGCGGUGAAUUAACAGCUCAUUGGUGAAUCCAUGAAUCGGCGAUGAUGAAUUAGCAACUUGAUCUCUGAACUUCAGGUGAUAUGAUGCGGCUGGUUCCGGCUUCUGUGCUCUUCUGAAGGUGAACACAUGCCAGGAAGGAAAGCUUGUCUGGUCGUGGCGCGGCAUAGGAUGGAUUGAUGGUUGCUUCCUUUCGAACCACACAAACCCCUUCUAGCAUGGUCGAGAUGAUCAAAAUGGAGGAGGGUAUCAGUAUGUGGCUGUUUGUUUCCUUGGUACUGAAAUGCUAUCAAGCAGCUGGCUUCAGUGGCGGAGCUUCCUGUAGACCAACAGACACCACAAGACAUCAUAAUGACCUGCAGGUUAGGGAGGAGGGUCGGGGCAACCACGAAUUCCGUCCUGCACUGCUUCAACACCGGCCUAUUCUAGCAUGAAUCUUCUACCGUAAGGAUUUGAUGCAGCAAGGGCCAUUUGUUUGACAGAAAUAGAGUUGUUACCGCAAGAGGUACAAAUCAAGGACCGAGGAGGGACGAGUGCGGAUUUGAUCUAAGUUGGGUUACUUUCUAUGAAUAGAUGGUGUGAUUGCUUUGUCAUUUCAUUUAAUUAAUAGAAAAUUGAUGAGGCAAUUGGAAGAAUCGAGCAGCAAUUUUACUACAGAUCUGCACCAUUGAUUUGGUCAUCUCUGUCAGUAGCAAGUUGCAUAAGAAAGGGUGGUGGCGUUGCAGAGGCGUGAAUGAAAAAGUUAGUCUGGGAUACAAUUAUAAUUGUGAGUCCCUCAAUUAUAGAGCGGAUCCAGGUGAAAGAUGUAGGUGGUGUGUGGAUUGAACUCUAGAUCGGGAACCUGCAGUACUAGAUGGACGAUAACUAUGCUUACAAUUGUUGAUCGAGAACUGUGAGAUUGUCUGUUCUUACAGGAAACAUCUACAAACAGCCGUUAUUCGUUAUUGUGCUCUUCCAUGUUGCGCCGCUGACAAGAGGAUGGAGGGUUUUAGUCGUCGUCGCGGAGAAGAAGGGUAACCACCAAGCAGGAGAGGGAGGAAAGCUAUGCCCGUUCGCUGGAAGCCAGGCAACCCGGCGCCAUCGUCGCGGAGAGCGAGGAGGGGCUAGAUUGCGCCGCCAUAGAGGUGAGCUAUGAGGGGCUGCGGCGUCCCUGCAUAGGAGGGGGGAGAGAAGCCGCCACCACACCACGUGAUUCUACUUGAAACUCCUCGGAGCUUGCACCAGGCUCAAGCGUGAGUCCACUGAUCUUCAUAUUCAGGCUGCAACAUUUUCUGAAUUUUAAGUUUGGCUGAAGAUGCUCUUACUCGUACACUAGAUCAACUGUACAAAUUGCUCUAAAUGUACUGCUUGACUGCUUGUCUUUAUUUUAAUCAUUUUCUUUGGCAGCUCUAAA
This is a non-coding RNA of Triticum urartu, 2029 nucleotides long. The record is from RefSeq and is a predicted model, not a curated record. Lineage: Eukaryota; Viridiplantae; Streptophyta; Magnoliopsida; Poales; Poaceae.